CCCUGGCUCAGGAUGAACGCUAGCGGCAGGCUUAACACAUGCAAGUCGAGGGGUAUUUAUCUUCGGAUAGAGAGACCGGCGCACGGGUGCGUAACGCGUAUGCAAUCUACCUUUUACAGAGGGAUAGCCCAGAGAAAUUUGGAUUAAUACCUCAUAGUAUAUAGACCUGGCAUCAGGAUUAUAUUAAAGUCACAACGGUAAAAGAUGAGCAUGCGUCCCAUUAGCUAGUUGGUAAGGUAACGGCUUACCAAGGCUACGAUGGGUAGGGGUCCUGAGAGGGAGAUCCCCCACACUGGUACUGAGACACGGACCAGACUCCUACGGGAGGCAGCAGUGAGGAAUAUUGGACAAUGGGCGCAAGCCUGAUCCAGCCAUGCCGCGUGCAGGAUGACGGUCCUAUGGAUUGUAAACUGCUUUUAUACGAGAAGAAACACUACUUCGUGAAGUAGCUUGACGGUAUCGUAAGAAUAAGGAUCGGCUAA
RNAcentral lists this ribosomal RNA (482 nucleotides) under Flavobacterium sp. CL7.11. RNAcentral describes it as "bacterial SSU rRNA". It matches the Rfam family "Bacterial small subunit ribosomal RNA", at positions 17 to 500 of the family's 1533-position model. The record is from RNAcentral. Lineage: Bacteria; Pseudomonadati; Bacteroidota; Flavobacteriia; Flavobacteriales; Flavobacteriaceae.